AGAAUACCCGGGUAUUUGUUGUAGAGUAUAGGUUGUAGAGUCCAGCUUUCCAAAUAUUUGGCUAGAAUUGGUUGCAGAUAUUGAAUCAGCAUCACCUGUUAUCACUGUGGUGAUGGUGUUGGUAUUUGUCUUUGUCUUUGCUUGUUUGCUUUGUUUUUUCCAUGAAACAUUUUUACACCGUUUAUGAUGUGUAUAGAUUGGAUACUCUCCGAUAUUCUUUUACGGAAUAAAUUAAUUGACAGCAUUUCCAAGACAUUGUC
Non-coding RNA from Pelobates cultripes (western spadefoot toad), 260 nucleotides. NCBI's taxonomy places the organism in Eukaryota, Metazoa, Chordata, Amphibia, Anura, Pelobatidae. The record is from the annotation of a GenBank genome assembly.